CCCGUAUCUGGUGGGCACCAGAUGCUUAACUAAAAUCCAUCUCCCAGUAACGACGGUAAAGUAAAGCCUGUAAAUCAACUAAGCGUAAAGGUGUAUCACUGUUAAGAAAACGAAGUUGGGAGAAGAAGAAAAAAACGAGACCACUAUAUUUUCAUUCUUCGUAUCUUUUUCGGAGUAUAGGCGCGGCGGCGCGUGCGCGCGCGGAGUUGUAGGGGAGGCCCGAUCGGUGUUCUGCCACGGGGCCUUGUGCGCAGUUGUUCCGCCACUGAGUAACCCUAUGCGUAACAUUUGUUAAACUCCUACCAAAAAUACCUGAUUAAACUUAAUGAUGUACCGAUUGAGAAUCAGAUGAACCAAACCUGGAGGAGAACGUGACAUGACAUCAAACAUUGAUAAAGAAUUGGGUUUGUUCAGCGACAUAUUGAUUGUCAAAAUCUUCCUUAGGAGAAACAUAAUUAUUGCGUUAUAUAAUAAUGGAUAUGCACGUAAGUGUGAAUUGUUGAAGGUUCCACCUGAGCUCACACUGGCGAAAAAAGACAAGAGAUGCAAUUUCCAGGAGAUUUUUCUGGCCAGGAAUGUCAGCUGACAUUGAUAAACGGGUGAGUAAAUUUCACAAGCUAUGUUCUCUUGCAGGUUUCUCAAAUGUGAUGCAUGUUCUCUUUUCUAUUAAUGUCGAUAACAGGUUCACAUUUAUUCAUUCUCCAGUCAUUACAAAUAAAGAUACAGUGAGAUAUCUUAAUACGAUACAGCUGAAUUAAAACAGUUUAAACUGCAGUUUUUAUGUUAGCAAUGUAGCAAAUUGUAGCCAUUCGGUUUCAAUUUUAAGAAAUGCAGAUUUUUGCAGAUGUUUUCACUUUGACAGUGAUUGUUUAAAUCUUCUUAGAGAGAUCCUCUGUUUUUUUAAUCAUUCAGUCUUUAAUGCAGAACCAUAUAGUUGAUUGUGUUCUGCCACCUUGAUUUCACCUGUUUGAUAUUUAUGUGUUUUUAUCGGUGUCAGAGUGUGCGGUUCGUCAGGCCACCCAGAAUGUAAUUAAACAACAAGUGGAAUAUACCCCCAUAAAAUUAGGUAUAGUUUGUUAUUUUAACAUAGUCCUCAAACUGAAAUAGAUGGACCCCCCACAACAGUCAAAGUCACUCACUAAUGAAAUGUAUGUAUAUUCUGCUAAAUUCCAAUAAUUUUCUGAAGCUAAAUCUCUGUUUAGCUUUCCUGAAUGUUUUGGCGUAUGUAGCACUAGAUGUGUAAGUGAAAUAUGAACUUAGAUCUGAGAGGCUCACGUUAUAAAAUAUGACAUUAAAUUUCCAGCCGAUUUAUACUGGCACCCAGUGAGCAAAUUCAUUUCCAUUUACAUCAUUCAGCAGAGAUUCAUUUCUAAAUUGACUUUGGUCUCCCUGUAGCCUGCAGCAUGAGGAUCAGAAUGAUGGUAAAGUUAGGGUACAGCCAGUGUUUAACCAAUGACGUUUCUGAACAUAACCAAGCAUUCCACCACCACGGACUAUAAGGCCAUUCUGUUAUUUGUUCUAUAAUUUUUGCUCUUCCUUUUAAGGUCACAGAGCCAUUUGAACUGUUUUGGAUUGACCUGAUUGGAAAACCGGUGACACUAAACCAUGAACAUAAAUAUAUAUGUGUUAUCGUGGAUUAUUUGACUAAGUGGUCACAAGCCUACCCACUGAAAUUGAAAUGUGCGGAGGAAGUGACUGCACGCAUUAUAAAAUCCGUCUGCCGGUUUGGGGCUCCAAAGGGGAUCUUAACUGACCGAGGAAGGGAGUUUGUCAGUGCGGUAAAUUGAAGUGAUCCAAUACCUGACUUUAAUGCAGAGAGAAAAUGAUACUUAAAUUGCAAAUAUAUUCCUUAUUUUGGUGUCUGUACACUUUUUCAGUUUUAUUACAUAUUAAUUUUUAUUAACAGAUAAAUAUGCGAGUUUGCACCAAACCUGGAACUGAUAGAAGUCUUUGCUCUCCUCACCAUCCACAAACAAAUGGCUUGGUGGAGCAGAUGAAUGAUACUAUCCAGAGGCGGGGAAAAUGCAUCUUGGUUGUUUUUUCUCCUUUGUCACAUCGUGUUGUCUGUAAGGUAUCAAAAUAUUUUCAGGAAACACUGGUUUCAAACAUCAGUUGUUGUAUUUCGAUUUGAGCAAAUACACCUAUUCAUGUUUUGCCAAAUACUUUUGGGCAAGAGAUCAGCUACUUGUGAUGAGUCUGUCUGCAGUUAUGGUUGGGCUACGCAGGAAAAAACGAAUCGCUAGCAAAUUCUCACCGUACUUCCUCAUGUUUGGAAGAGAGGCCCGCUACCCUCCUACAGUACCAGAGCAAUAGCAGGUUAGGCUGUGAAUGUUGAAAUGUAUUAUAAUUAGUUAUUUCUCGCGUAGCUCAGAUGAUGUCUUCUGAGGCUGUUUAGCUAUGCAGAGUCCAUCAUUAAAACGUGGUUGCUGUCUUCAUGGACACUUUUAGCAGCCUCUGCCAUUUUUGUGGGUUGAAGGAGUCUGGCAAACUACGGGUCAUUUCUACAAUAUACAAUACAACAAACAUUUCUCCUUUGAUUGGGAGACUGUUUCUCUCCAAACUCUGAGGCCAGUGCAUUUAACUUGAUCAAUCGGGCUGCUUUUCAGAUUUGCUAGAUAAUACAGAUAAGAAAUUAGCGAUUUCCCAAGUGAGUGUGAGUUUCCAACUGUAACCUGCAUAAGUAAUUUCAUGAAACGCUGGACUCCCAAGGAGUCACUGAGAGAGUAUUUACCUGUCAGAUAGUCCGUGAAGAUAUGAGGGCAGACAGUGAAGCAGCUGCCAUUGGUGUUUGCACAGUGUUAACAGUCAUUAAGUUCAGCAGUUAUAUCACUGGCCUCUCACCCUUAUUCUUCUCAUCUAUUUUGUCUAUAUACUGAUUUUUUAUUUUAGGACAACUAUUGCUGUUACAUUUAGGCAGCAAUCUUCCCUCAGUUUCCUAUUACAAUUCCUUUAGUUGCUUUGAAUCUUUAAUGUGAAAAGCGUUAACUACACUUUAAUGGAAACAGUCUCCCUUCCCUUUAGAUAUGCUGUGAUGUUUGCAGCAGAUGGUCCCACCAUGAGUCUGGGCAGAAUCCUCCAUUAGAUAAAGGCUACAUGUGUCCAGCACGCGCAUAAGGGUUUGUUAGUGUAUUCAUUUUGUGUUUUAUGUAGGAUUAUUUGAGAAUGUGUCUACAGGUGUUACGCCAUUCGCAGCCAAGGCCUAAUGACGAAAUUUAUGUUGCGUUCCCUCAUCUGCAAGCAACGGUGCACGUGGAAAAACGAUUUGGCCUUUGAACCUUCCUGUGCCCAAGGGUCGGGCACCCGAAGCCGGGCACAAGUCUUCCGGUCUAAGCUCCAAAAUGCAUCAAGAUGGCAGAAGUGGCCGGUCCUAAUUGCAGAAUGCAAGAUUGACAGGUUAAAGUCGAUGCAACACAAAUCACAUGAGAGUCCAGUAAGGGGAAAACAAAAUUACAACUUCCCACAAUUUAAUGACUGAAAUGCUUUAUAGCAAACAUGCAGAAUUGACAAGAUGGUUACAAACCAAAGCUUAAGAAUUUUCUGUAAAUUCCUGAGUCUAUACAUAUAUGAAUGAAACCUCCCCACAAAUUUUUUAUCAUUUCUAGUAGUGGUUUAAUUUCCAUCUUCAUCCUUCUACGUAAAUAAUUAGGCAUGCAUCCGAGGAACCUUCAGUGUGAAAUCAAGACCAUCUUUAACAUAAACAAGCGUAAUAAUAAUCAUAAUAAUGAAUAAUAAAUUAGAUUUAUAUAACGCUUUUUACAAACCUAAGGUAGCUUUACAAAGAGGGAAAAAGAACCGUCCAAGCAGUUCAUGAAGAGAAAUGUUCAUUAGUGUUCUUUAAGUCAGAUUUUAAAAGUAGAGAAUAAAGAACGGUCAAGGAGAGACUGAGGAGGAGCGUUCCAGAGUCCGGGGACACUGACACCGAAUGACCUGCCGCCCAGAGUGAGAAGCCUGGUGGUCAGGAGUCGGUGUGUGAGGCCUGAACCUCCCCUUUAAUGCCAUUACAUUAAUAACUGCUGCCUUUAUCUGACAAACAACUCGCAAAGCAGUGGAGCUGCUCACCAGGACAGUUAGGGUUAAAGGCUGUGCUCAGGGGCCCAAUGAUUAAACCACAGGGCUGAGCAUCUUCCAGUUACAGGAACACCACCUCAGGCAGCUGAGCUAUACACAGUCCCACAAUAUGAAGCUAAAAACGAGGAUGAAAGAUGAACAGACUGGAGAAAGAAACUAUAUGAUCUUCCCCAUUGAACUGUAAUGUGUCCCACUGGACUCUCGCAAGCCAGUACUUUGCAUGUGCUUCAAUAAUAUUGCAACCUAAUUUUGCUAAAACUGAAUUGACUCUUUGAUGUAUUUUCACUGAACCUUACGGCUGUCAUUUUCCAGUAAUAUUUCUCCUGCUGAAUCUGGCAGGCCUCAAUUGCCUCGUGGAAAUGUAUUUUGUAGGGAAUUAUUGAUUCUGACUGGUACUGAACCCACAAAGGUCACACUGGGGUCAACAGUGUUGUUGCUCACUGAUGCGAGUAAUUGACUGUUUUCUGACGGAAGAAUCUGGAACGAAUCAGAAUAAAAAAACAAGCACAUAAAUAAAAUCAAAACAAUCGGAAGAAGCAGGUAUGAUGGAAAUUUCAUGCUUGAAUAAACACAACCAAUUACAAACUAAAAUAAUUAAUGCAUUUUAAGAGGAAGAGGGUACAAGUAAUCUAGUGACUCAAAAUAAUGAAUGGAAAUUAACCUCUUUUAGAUUUUUUUUAUGGCCAAAAGGCUUUGACAACAGCACAUCUUACCUCAAGGCACAUUACAGUGUUGAAAUUAUGUCGCUAUUGUUGCUAAGAGGAUAAAUACAUUAAUGUGUUUUUGUUACCUCCUGUUGUCAUAGAUACUGUCAUACAUUCCCUCAUUGUGUCUUGUGCUCACGGACAGCAAGGUGAAGAACGUCCUCGUUGCCUCUGGUCACAUCACUUUCUGUCACAGAUCCUCUACAGAAUGAUGAUCCUUCCCAAUGUGGAGUAGAGACUCACUCUCUGAACCUCCUAAAACUUGACUUGGGUCCUGGAGGGAGCGUGGGAGUUUGCCCAAACAGUCUACAUGUGCUUUGUGGACUUGGAGAAGGCAUUCGACCGCGUCCCUCGGGGAGUCCUGUGGGGAGUGCUCCGGGAGUAUGGUGUGCCGGGCUUCCUUAUAAGGGCUGUUUGGUCUCUGUAUGACCAGUGUCUGAGCUUGGUCUGCAUGGUCGGCGGUAAGUCAGACUUGUUACCAGUGAGGGUUGGACUCGGCCAGGGCUGCCCUUUGUCACCGAUUCUGUUCAUAGCUUUUAUGGACAGAAUUUCUAGGCGCAGCCAGGGCGCUGAGGGUGUCCGGUUUAGUGACCUCAGGAUUAGGUCUCUACUUUUUGCAGAUGAUGUGGUUCUGUUGGCCUCAUCGGAUUGAGACCUUCAGCUCUCACUGGAGCAGUUUGCAGCCGAGUGUGAAGCAGCUGGGAUGAAAUUCAGCACCUCCAAAUCCGGGACCAUGGUCCUCAGCCGGAAAAGGGUGGAGUGCUCUCUCAGAGUAGAGCUGCUGCUCCUCCGCAUUGAGAGGACCCAGAUGAGGUGGCUCGGGCAUCUGCUCAGGAUGCCUCCUGGACGUCACCCUGGUGAGGUGUUCCGGGGGAGGCCCCGGGAAAAGACUGCUACCAAAAUACAAGGUUACACUGAACAAAAAAUAUUUUUUUUGGUAAAAAGGGGGUGUGUCUAUAUUAUUUUUUAAACUUGGCAGAGCCAAAGGUCGCCACACCAGUUAUCGUAAUUGGCUGAGGAACGCUGGAAUGUCCAACAGGCAACUGCGUCCACCACGUGUGGCCCGAAGGACAAGGGCGCCAUGUACUGUGGAUCUACUACCUGUUUGUUUUUGAUCGUUUCGAAAACCGUUGGGAAGCUGCCACCGUGGAUUUUCCAUGGUGAAAAUAGCUGGGAAAACGGGAAGUGAACACAGAAAAGCAGGCGAGCAUCACUCCAUACAAGGACCUAGAUUGGUGCAUGUUUCCACAACAGCACUAAACGUGGUGAAAGGUCAGCUUACUGGACGUCUCGGCCCCCUGGUGUUAUACUGAGAAACAGCACUUAUAGACACAGGAUAAUGUAGUUCAAACAGAGAGUACGUUUUAGUUUGUAUGCACACACCACUGCUGGAAAAACAACUAUAUAAUGCUGCAUAAAUAUUCUGCUUCAGCAUUUUAGCUUAUUUAGUGGAUGUGUUUAUCCUAAUCCCUGAAGCAAUGGGAGGUUCAGGGUCUUGCUCAGGAGCCCAGUGGUGACAUCAUGCUGCCAAUCAUGAUUUGAACUGGCAACCUUCUGGCAUCCUACAGAUGUAGUAUCCUACCCCACUGAGGCUCACUCUAUGUCAACGUCCUUUAUCACUAAUUUAUUAUCCACUUGUUAUAUUGUACUGUUUUGUCUUACUGAAUUAUUGUCUUGAAUUACACUACUGUUUGUCCAUUGAUGACCCUGAUGAUCCCGAACUGAAAACUAACAAACUGUCAUGAUCCUCAUUUGUCUUGUCCCUGAUUGGCCAGCAGAGGUCGCUGGUCAUCCCGUAAUCACAUUGUUCCCAGCCCUCCUGCCUUAACCAUCCGCACCUGUCUCUAGAGCGUUAAUCAUGUUCGGUGUAAAUACGUUCCCUCCCUCAAUGUGUUCCUCACCUCAGUCAUUGUUGUUACAUAGAUCCUGUUUCUAUUCAGUUAAAAGUUGCAUCUGGGUCAAGUCUUUGACACAAAAUAUGCUUUGUAAAAAGUUAGUGAGAAAUGUUUCUUGAAUUACCCUGUAUAUAAACACAUUUAAUCAGUAGUAAAACAGUAAAAGCCGUGAGUCAUUUGAAAUUAAUAAAAAUAAGAAUAUAUAUCAGAUAAACAUAUAAAAGGUGUUUUAUGAACCGUUUUGUUGAGGACCAGACAAAAACAUUUUGUAUGCGUUUCUGUCUAAAUACAAUCUGGCUCAGUAAACAUAA
Molecule: long non-coding RNA, 6978 nt
Organism: Brienomyrus brachyistius
Lineage: Eukaryota; Metazoa; Chordata; Actinopteri; Osteoglossiformes; Mormyridae
Exons: 4
Source: RefSeq, a predicted model, not a curated record